This 643-nucleotide non-coding RNA is filed under the name Paenibacillus crassostreae. RNAcentral's name for it is "Paenibacillus sp. LPB0068 Bacterial large subunit ribosomal RNA". It matches the Rfam family "Bacterial large subunit ribosomal RNA", at positions 2109 to 2751 of the family's 2925-position model. The record is from Rfam by way of RNAcentral. Lineage: Bacteria; Bacillati; Bacillota; Bacilli; Caryophanales; Paenibacillaceae.
GCUUGAUAUUGAAUUUGGGUACGAUUUGUACAGGAUAGGUGGGAGCCUGAGAAAUAGGAGCGCAAGCUUCUAUGGAGGCGCCGUUGGGAUACCACCCUGAUCGUAUCUAGGUUCUAACCUAGGACCGUAAACCGGUUCGGGGACAGUGUCAGGUGGGCAGUUUGACUGGGGCGGUCGCCUCCUAAAGAGUAACGGGGGCGCCCCAAGGGUCCCUCAGAAUGGGUGGGAAUCAUUCGCAGAGUGCAACGGCAGUAGGGAGCUUGACUGCGAGACCUACAAGUCGGGCAGGGACGACAGUCGGGCUUAGUGAUCCGGUCGUACCGCAUGGAAGGGCCAGCGCUCAGCGGAUACCAGCUACCCUGGGGAUCACAGGCUGAUCUCCCCCAAGAGUCCACGUCGACGGGGAGGGUUGGCACCUGGAUGUCGGCUCAUCGCAUCCUGGGGCUGAAGUAGGUCCCAAGGGUUGGGCUGUUCGCCCAUUAAAGCGGUACGCGAGCUGGGUUCAGAACGUCGUGAGACAGUUCGGUCCCUAUCUGUCGUGGGCGCAGGAAAUUUGAGAGGAGCUGUCCUUAGUACGAGAGGACCGGGAUGGACGCACCUCUGGUGUACCAGUUGUUCCGCCAGGAGCAUAGCUGGGUAGCUA